Molecule: ribosomal RNA, 454 nt
Filed under: uncultured bacterium
Lineage: Bacteria
Description: bacterial SSU rRNA
Rfam family: Bacterial small subunit ribosomal RNA
Source: RNAcentral
UACGGAAGGCAGCAGUGGGGAAUAUUGCACAAUGGGCGAAAGCCUGAUGCAGCUAUGCCGCGUGUAUGAAGAAGGCCUUAGGGUUGUAAAGUACUUUCAUCGGGGAGGAAAAAACAAAACUAAUAAUUUUAUUUCUUGACGUUACCCGAAAAAGAAGCACCGGCUAACUCCGUGCCAGCAGCCGCGGUAAUACGGAGGGUGCUAGCGUUAAUCAGAAUUACUGGGCGUAAAGAGCACGUAGGUGGUUUUUUAAGUCAGAUGUGAAAUCCCUGGGCUUAACCUAGGAACUGCAUUUUGAAACUGAAAUACUAGAGUAUCGUAGAGGGAGGUAGAAUUCUAGGUGUAGCGGUGAAAUGCGUAGAUAUCUGGAGGAAUACCUGUGGCGAAAGCGGCCUCCUAAACGAAUACUGACACUGAGGUGCGAAAGCGUUGGGGAGCAAACAGGGAUUAGAUA